This 884-nucleotide ribosomal RNA is filed under the name uncultured archaeon. Its description in RNAcentral is "bacterial SSU rRNA". It matches the Rfam family "Archaeal small subunit ribosomal RNA", at positions 34 to 926 of the family's 1478-position model. The record is from RNAcentral.
CGGAGAUCCUAAGCCAUGCGAGUCAUUGUAGCAAUACAAGGCAGACGGCUCAGUAACGCGUAGUCAAUCUACCCUAUGGACGGGGAUAACCUCGGGAAACUGAGAAUAAUACUCGAUAGAACAUUAUGCCUGGAAUGGUUUAUGUUUCAAAUGAUUUAUCGCCGUAGGAUGGGACUGCGGCCUAUCAGUUUGUUGGUGAGGUAAUGGCCCACCAAGACUAUUACAGGUACGGGCUCUGAGAGGAGUAGCCCGGAGAUGGGUACUGAGACACGGACCCAGGCCCUAUGGGGCGCAGCAGGCGAGAAAACUUUGCAAUGUGCGAAAGCACGACAAGGUUAAUCCGAGUGGUUUCUGCUAAAGGAACCUUUUGUCAGUCCUAGAAACACUGAUGAAUAAGGGGUGGGCAAGUUCUGGUGUCAGCCGCCGCGGUAAAACCAGCACCUCAAGUGGUCAGGAUGAUUAUUGGGCCUAAAGCAUCCGUAGCCGGCUCUGUAAGUUUUCGGUUAAAUCUGUACGCUCAACGUACAGGCUGCCGGGAAUACUGCAGAGCUAGGGAGUGGGAGAGGUAGACGGUACUCGGUAGGAAGGGGUAAAAUCCUUUGAUCUAUUGAUGACCACCUGUGGCGAAGGCGGUCUACCAGAACACGUCCGACGGUGAGGGAUGAAAGCUGGGGGAGCAAACCGGAUUAGAUACCCGGGUAGUCCCAGCUGUAAACUAUGCAAACUCAGUGAUGCAUUGGCUUGUGGCCAAUGCAGUGCUGCAGGGAAGCCGUUAAGUUUGCCGCCUGGGAAGUACGUACGCAAGUAUGAAACUUAAAGGAAUUGGCGGGGGAGCACCACAAGGGGUGAAGCCUGCGGUUCAAUUGGAGUCAACGCCGGGAAUC